UGCCAUAGGGAAUACCAACAUGGUGGUUC
This 29-nucleotide non-coding RNA is filed under the name Rattus norvegicus (Norway rat). Lineage: Eukaryota; Metazoa; Chordata; Mammalia; Rodentia; Muridae. The record is from RNAcentral.